CCUACGGGAGGCAGCAGUGGGGAAUAUUGCACAAUGGGGGAAACCCUGAUGCAGCGACGCCGCGUGAGUGAAGAAGUAUUUCGGUACGUAAAGCUCUAUCAGCAGGGAAGAAAAUGACGGUACCUGACUAAGAAGCACCGGCUAACUACGUGCCAGCAGCCGCGGUAAUACGUAGGGGGCAAGCGUUAUCCGGAUUUACUGGGUGUAAAGGGAGCGUAGACGGCAGCGCAAGUCUGGAGUGAAAUGCCAUGGCUUAACCAUGGAACGGCUUUGGAAACUGUGCAGCUAGAGUGCAGGAGAGGUAAGCGGAAUUCCUAGUGUAGCGGUGAAAUGCGUAGAUAUUAGGAGGAACACCAGUGGCGAAGGCGGCUUACUGGACUGUAACUGACGUUGAGGCUCGAAAGCGUGGGGAGCAAACAGGAUUAGAUACCCCAGUAGUC
This 440-nucleotide ribosomal RNA is filed under the name uncultured bacterium. RNAcentral's name for it is "partial 16S ribosomal RNA". It matches the Rfam family "Bacterial small subunit ribosomal RNA", at positions 338 to 795 of the family's 1533-position model. The record is from RNAcentral.